This 495-nucleotide ribosomal RNA is filed under the name uncultured bacterium. RNAcentral's name for it is "partial 16S ribosomal RNA". It matches the Rfam family "Bacterial small subunit ribosomal RNA", at positions 28 to 507 of the family's 1533-position model. The record is from RNAcentral.
GACGAACGCUGGCGGCGUGCCUAAUACAUGCAAGUCGAACGCUGAAGGAGGAGCUUGCUUCUCUGGAUGAGUUGCGAACGGGUGAGUAACGCGUAGGUAACCUGCCUGGUAGCGGGGGAUAACUAUUGGAAACGAUAGCUAAUACCGCAUAAGAGUAGAUGUUGCAUGACAUUUGCUUAAAAGGUGCAAUUGCAUCACUACCAGAUGGACCUGCGUUGUAUUAGCUAGUUGGUGGGGUAACGGCUCACCAAGGCGACGAUACAUAGCCGACCUGAGAGGGUGAUCGGCCACACUGGGACUGAGACACGGCCCAGACUCCUACGGGAGGCAGCAGUAGGGAAUCUUCGGCAAUGGACGGAAGUCUGACCGAGCAACGCCGCGUGAGUGAAGAAGGUUGUCGGAUCGUAAAGCUCUGUUGUAAGAGAAGAACGAGUGUGAGAGUGGAAAGUUCACACUGUGACGGUAUCUUACCAGAAAGGGACGGCUAACUACGUG